This 1334-nucleotide long non-coding RNA is filed under the name Mus musculus (house mouse). RNAcentral describes it as "long non-coding RNA chr2:125954227-125955561". The record is from RNAcentral. Lineage: Eukaryota; Metazoa; Chordata; Mammalia; Rodentia; Muridae.
AGGCUUUGGAAGGACACUUUAUAACUCAUCAAAGGAAAAAUCUACCAAGAUGAACUCUCAAUUCUGAGCAUCUAUGCUCCAAAUGGAAGGGCACCCACAUUCAUAAAAGAAACUUUACUAAAGCUCAAAGCACACAUUGCACCUCACACAGUAAUAGUGCAAGACUUCAAUACCCACUCUCAUCAAUGGACAGAUCAUGGAAACAUAAACUGAUCAGAGACACAGUGAAAUUAACAAAAGUUACAAACUAAAUGGAUCUUGCUGAUGUCUAUAGAACAUUUCAUCCUAAGACAAAAGAAUAUACCUUCUUCUCAGCACCUCAUGGUACUUUCUCUAAAACUGGCCAUAUAAUUGGUCACAAAAAAAGUAUCAACAGAUACAAGAAGAUUGAAAUAAUCCCAUUCAUCCUAUCAGAUCACCACGGACUAAGGCUGGUCUUUAAUAACAACAAAGACAGCAGAAAGCCCACAUACACAUGGAAGCUGAACAACACCCUACUCAAUGAUAACUUGGUCAAGGAAAAAUAAAGAAAGAAAUCAAAGAUGUUUUAGAAUUUAAUAAAAAUGAAGGCAAAACAUUCCCAAAUUUAUGGGACACAAUGAAAGCAGUACUACGAGGAAAACUCCUAGCUCUGAGUGCCUCCCAAAAGAAACUGCAGAGAGCAUACACUAGCAGCAUGACAGCAUAUCUGAAAGCUCUAGAACAAAAAAGUAAAUACACCCAAGAGGAGUAGAUGGUAGGAAAUAAUCAAACUCAGGGCUGAAGUCAACCAAGUAGAAACAAAAAGAACUAUACAGAGAAUCCGCACAACCAGGAACUGGCUCUUUGAAAAAAUCAACAAGAUAGGUAAACCCUUAGCCAGACUAAUAAGAGGGCAUAGAGACAGUAUCCAAAUUAACAAAAUCAGAAAUGCAAAAGAAGACAUAACAACAGAAACUGAGGAAAUUUAAAAAAUUAUCAGAUCCUACUACAUAAGCAAAAACAACAAAACUGGAAAUGGACAAUUCUCUAGAGAGAUACCAGGUACCAAAUUUAAAUCAGGGUGAGAUAAACCAUCUAAACAUUCCCAUAACCCCUAAAGAAAUAGAAGGAGUCAUUAAAUGUCUCCCAACCAAAAAACAAACAAACAAAAACAAAAACAAAAAACAAACAAACAAAAAAAACCAAAAAUCCCCCCAAAAACCCAGGACCAGAUGGGUUUAGUGCAGAAUUCUAUCAGAUCUUCAAAGAAGACCUAAUACCAAUACUCCUCAAACUAUUCGACAAAAUAGAGACAGAAGGAACACUAGCCAAUUUGACCUAUGAAGCCACAAUUACAUUUAUACUAAAACCAC